GCGGAGGGGAGGAGCUGCUGUGCCCGCCCCUCAGGGAUCUCCUCAGCCCCGCCCCUAGGUAGAGGGAGCUGUGGCUCCCGCCAAAAGUGAGGACCGAUCCUUCAGGUGCCUUCUCCCAGGCAGAGUGGACAGUGAGAGAGAGAGAGACAGAGAGAAAGGUCUUCCUUUGCCAUUGGUUCACCCUCCAAUGGCCGCCACGGCCGGCGCGCUGCGGCCAGCACACCUCGCUGAUCCAAAGCCAGGAGCCAGGUGCUUCUCCUGGUCUCCCAUGUGGGUGCAGGGCCCAAGCACUUGAGCCAUCCUCCACUGCACUCCCGGGCCAUAGCAGAGAGCUGGCCUGGAAUGGUUGCUUUUGACCUCCAAGCAAUGUACUGUGUUCUGUGCAGAAUCCAUCUGAAAGAGAACCAAGGCACUCCAGCUGAUAGCUCUACCUAAGCUCCCCUUUGAAAGCCAGCACCAAACAACCAAGCAACCAUGUAAGUCAUCUUCUUAAACAUUCCAGCCCCUCCAAGCUUCAAAUGACUGCAACUCCACCUCACUGGGCAAAAGAAUCACCCAGAUAAAUCUAGUUCCCGGUCAAAUCAAAUAAUAUUGAGGUGAUAAUUAUUCCUCCAAUAAACUAAGUUUAGGAAAAGUUUUUGCACAGGAAUAAACAAAAUAGAUAUUUUCAAAUUCUUGAGUAAAUACAUAGGAGUAGAACUGGUAGAAAUAGAACAGGUCUAUAGUAAGUAGCUGUAUAGUAAAGUAGCUUAGUAAAUUCACACUCUCACCAUCUGUGGGGAGCAACUGAGACUAGACUAAGUUACUGGAAUUAAGACUUAUUCUAUGCAUCUGCUCUCCCACAGUAUGGCGCUGAGAGAGACCAAACAACCUCUAUGCAGCUGCCUCAUCAGUUUGACACGCUGCAGGAGCUGAUCUUGCUCCUGAUUGGAGGAGAGCAGCGUGCUCGGCGUGUGGGUAGCAGAGUUGGGAUUGGUGGAAGAGGACUAUAAAGGAGGAGAGAGACAACAUGCACCAGGAACAUCUGAAGGAACAUCUGAGCAGCCCCCGAGAGAGCCGGCCAGCGGUGUGCUGCUCCUCCACAGAAGCGGGGAAAGCGGCUGGGGGAGCCGCCACUCCAUGGAGGUGGAGGGGUUGGCAGCCAACCCGGGAAGGACCAGCGGCAAACCCGGGAAGGGCCGAACCCGGGAAGGGCCAAGCAGACGAAAGAACAGCGCAGGGUCCGGUGUCGUUCCUCUGCGAAUGGGGGAGCGACAACCAUCAAAAAGUGUUGUGAUUAAUGUAUAUUCUCCUCGUCACUCUUUAACAUUUUUUGACACUUAAUUAUCAUUUAAUGAUGACUAAUGGUGUACAGCAUCUUUCUGUGUGCUCAUUUGUCACUUGUAAAUCUUUCAUGAAGUGUAUUUUCAAAUCUCAUCUUUUGCUUUAAGUUGGUUUAAGGCACUUUUUAAUAUUGAUUUCUUGAGUUUUAUCAUACAUUGUAGUUACAGAUCCUUCCUUUGAUAGAUAAAUGUAUUAUGACUGUCCAAGUCUAUAGUUUGAGUUCUCAUUGUUUUAAAUGUCUUUUUGAGGAGCUAAGUUUUUUAAAUUGAAUGCCUAAUUUAUUGUAUUCCUUAUAUCUAGUUAAUUAUAUUUUUCUGUAUCAUCUCUUGGAAAUCAUUGUCUACUCCAAGGAUGAAAUAUACCUUCCUAUAUUUUCUUUUUGAAGCACUGUACUUUUAACUUUUAUGUUUAUGCAUAUAGACCAUAUAGAAUUAUUUUUUAUGAAUAGCUUAAAUUAUUUGUUGAGUUUCAUUGCUUCACUUUUGUAUCCAUAUGGAUAUCCAGUUAUUCUAGAAAGAUAUUUUGAAAUUUUUCCCACUGAAUUUCCUAGGAACCAUUAUCAAAAUUAAAUUGAUAGCAUAUGUGUGUCUAUUUCUGGACUUUUAGUCCAGUCUCUCCUUACACCAAAUAUCCUCAUUAAUGUGGUUUAAAAUAAUGAAAUCCCAACUUUUGCAACAAAAUGAUUACAACUGAAGAUCAUUAUGCUUAGUGAAAUAAGAUAGAUCCAAAAGACAAAAUUCACAUUUUCUGAUUUGUGAUGGUUAAUACAUAUAGAGAGAAUAUAAAAAGAUUGCUGUUGAUGAAACUGACAUCUUUGAAUUUGAUUAUUGCUUAUAGCCCUUGUCCAUAUUUCUGCUGAACAGCAGUCUUUACUUUGUACUUAUUGAACUAUUUACUUAAUGGAAAAUUAAGCCUUUUACUAUAAAGUACAUUCAAAACAUAUUAUCUCAAAAAUUUUUUUUACUUAUUUGACAGGUAGAAUGAGACAGUGAGAGAGAGAAACAGAGAGAAAGGUCUCCCUUCCGUUGGUUCACCCCCCAGAUGGCCACUACGGUUGGCGCUGCAUGCCGAUCCGAACCCAGGAGCCAGGGGCUUCCUCCUAGUCUCCUAUGUGGGUGCAGGCAUCCAAUCACCUGGGCCAUCCUCCACUGCCUUCCUGGGCCACAACAGAGAGCUGGACUGAAAGAGGAGCAGCCGGGACUAGAACUCAAUGCCCAUAUGGGAUGCCAGCGCCACAGGUGGAUGAUUAGCCAAGUGAGCCACGGCGCUGGCCCAAAAAUUUUUUAAAAAGAAAAGAGAUAAAGGCAGAAGGAGGGAGAAGUGAAGGAGAGAAGUAUCAUUAUAUUCUUAGAAUUGUAUCCAUAGACUACAUUAAAUCUGUUCUCCUUAUAUUAAUAAAAUAAAAAUGUAAAUAUUUUAAAAAUUGAAUAAUAUGGUCACUAACAUGCCAAAUGUUGCUAAGGGUAGAUUUUCAAUGGUGGCAACAAGAAGAAAGUAUAUAACGUCUCAACAAAAAAGAUGAUACACAGUACCCAUGUGCAUAGGGAUGAAUGAUUUACAAGGUUAAGGUUAGAUACCAAAUGAAUUGUAGGAGUGAUAGUGUUGGAAAGCAUAAGUUGACUGCUGUUGUGGGUAAGUGGAUGGAGAACCAAUUAGUUAAUAUUUCAAAAUAUCCCGUUCCAUAUGCUUGUUCCCAGAUUAAACUAGCUGAUUCUAAUAAUUAUUCAGCUUUAACUUCAGCAUUUGCAACAUAUUCAACACAGCUUAAUUGAACUUCUCUGUUGAUAGGUGUUCUUACAUUUGUUGUUAAUGUCUUCUGCCACUUGGGGCCAACCAGUCCCUGAAACCUGGACUCAUACUAGUCACGAGUCGUUUCCCUUCCUGUAUUAUUAAAUUGUAAAAUCAUAUUGUCAAAAUAAAAGAUAGUAUUUCUGGGGAAAAGCAAUUUUGGCUUAUUUAUAUAAAACUCUUUUUUUCCUAGAAAAAUGAAUUUUUAUCUUUCUAUAAGGCCUUUCUCUAGUCUUCUCCCACCCUCCAUUUUGGCUCAGAUGUUUUUGUUGUUUGUAUGAGACCUUAUUUUAACUGAAGCAUCCUCUUUGCUAACAUCUGAUGUAUAGUACAUUUGCAAUUACCAUCAGUAGUAUUGACAACUACUUUUUCCAACAGUUUUUAGCUUGGCCCUGCUAAAGGCAUAGGUAACAGAGGAAGUUGUCAGUUCACACUUGCUGAGUAAUCCUAGAAGUAUUCUCCAAGUUGUACAUGUGAUUGCUUUUCUCAGAACAAGAAAAUCUGGGAUGUUGUAUCAUGAGCUAAUGCAAAUUUUUAAAAAUUCAUAAACUAUUCAUUCAUUACCUUGAUAAAAGAAAUUUUCUAGACCCUCAAAUCUGAUGACAGUAUAAAAACUGAAGGAAUUGUAAGAUCAGCCAUUGGCAAACCAAAAUCUCUUAGCACAUGUACUCCAAAAUCUUAUAUAAAGUACUUCUUUCCUCUAUGCCCAUAGAGUUUGAGGAGUUGAAAAUUCUGUAUAAUUGACAAACUGAUGUCUUAAUUCCUAUGGAAAUGUAAGAGACCUGGAGGAGCCAAAGUAAUCUUGAAAAAGAAUAACAAUUUGAAGGGCUCACAUCUCCAGAUUUCAAAAUCUACUACAAAGUACAAUAAUCAAGGCUAAGUAUUGCUGGUCUAAGAGCAGACAUAUAGAUCAAUGCAGUAGAACUGGGAGUUUGUAAAUCCACUCAUACUUUUCUCAUGAACUGAUUUUUAACAUGUGUGCCAAGAUAAUUAAGUGGGAGAAAGAAUAAUCUGUUUAAUAAAUUAUGCUGGACAACUCAAUAACCACAUACAAAAGCAUGAAGUUGGACUCCUAUGUCACACCAUACAAAGAAAUAAACUCAAAAUGAACCAAAGAGCCAAAUAUAAGUGCUAAACUAAUAAAACUAUUAGAAAAACCCAUAAACAUUGGUCAUUGUGACUUAGAUUAGACAAUAAACAUAAGCAACCAAAAUUUGGACUUAAUUAAAAUUUAAAAAAAAUUUUUGCUUCAAAUGAGUUUAUCAAGAAAUUAAAAAUAUAUACCACAGAAGGAUGGCCCAAGUGUUUGGGCCCCUGCGCCCGCAUGGGAGACCAGGAAGAAGCACCUGGCUCCUGGCUUUGGAUCGGCACAGCGCUGGCUGUGGCGACCAUUUGGGAAGUGAACCAACGGAAGGAAGACUUUUCUCUCUGUCUCUCUCUCUCACUGUCUACAACUCUACCUGACAAAUAGAUAAAUAAGAAAAAUUUUCAAAAGAAAAAACGAGAGCCAUUGUGUCCAUGGAUUUUAAAAUAUAUAUAUACCACAGAAUAGGAGAAAAUAUUUGCAAAUCAUAUAGCUGGAAAGUAUCUAGUAUCCAGGAUAUAUAAGUAACUCCUAAAAUAUAAAAAUAGACAAAUAAUUCAAAGUGGGAAAUCUGUUAGAACAUACAUUUCUUCAAAGAAGAUAUAUAAAUGGUCAAUAAAUGCUCAACAUCACUUUUGCUCAGGGAGAUACAAAUCAAAACCACAAUGGAUAACUAGAAUAAAAAGUCAGAAAAUAUUAAGUAUUUCAGCGAUCUGUAGAAACUGGAAUCCUGAUACAUUGCUGGUAAGAAGGUAAACAGUGUAGCAAAUUCGGGAAACAGUUAACAUAUUUUUAAAAUGUUAAACAUACAGUUACUAUAUGAUCCAAUAAUCUCACUCUUAAGCACAUAACCAAGAGUUAUAUAGGAAAAUAUAUCUACGAAAAGUUUGUCUGAAUUCUAACAGCUGCAUUAUUUUUAAUCAUCAAAAUGUAGAAACAACCUAACCAUAAUCCAUUGAUGAAUGGAUAAGCAAAAUGUAAUAUAUUUAUCUUGUGUCAGCCCUAAGAAGUACCAGUUCAUACUAUAACAUGGAUGAACCUAGAAAAUAUGGUGCAAAAUGAAAGACGUUAGAUACAAAAAGCUAUAUACUGGAUGAUUCUAUUUAUAUAAAAUGUCCAGAAGAAACAAAUCCAUAAGACAGAAAAGUUAGUGAUUUCCAGGGGCUUGGCCUGAGAGGAAUGGGGAGUGACUCUUAAUAUGUGUGAGUUUCAGGAAUGAAGAGACUGUUAGGGAAUUAGAUAAUGGUGUUGCAAAACUGUGUGAAUAUAUUAAAAACCACCAAAUUAAAUGCUUUAAAAGGGUGGAUUCUAAGGCAUGUGAACUGAAUCUGAGAAAAAAAAAUUCUUGGGCCCUGCCCUGUAACUACUUCUAAAUCAAAAUGAGAUGGUGAGGUUUCAAAUAAUCUAUAUUUUAAGUUCUUUAGGAGAUUCGUAUGUACAUUAAUAUUUGAGAAUUGUUCCUUUAAACCAUUUUUUAAAAGUCUA
Molecule: non-coding RNA, 5680 nt
Organism: Oryctolagus cuniculus (rabbit)
Lineage: Eukaryota; Metazoa; Chordata; Mammalia; Lagomorpha; Leporidae
Source: RefSeq, a predicted model, not a curated record